Molecule: long non-coding RNA, 1012 nt
Organism: Salvelinus sp. IW2-2015
Lineage: Eukaryota; Metazoa; Chordata; Actinopteri; Salmoniformes; Salmonidae
Source: RefSeq, a predicted model, not a curated record
CAUGGCUGGGGUGAGAUGGUGUAGGCGGUACAACAACAUGUGAAGUCUGUGAGCUUUGAGCUGAGGAGGGAGCUGAGGGACAGUGACGUCACCAACCUGAACGCCCAUGGAGAGAUACUGGUGCCACACACUGUACAGGCGACAGAUGUCAACGGGAGGAGGACCUAUCACACAGCAGAGACACUCGUCAUUGCCGUGUGGGACGGGGAACAAUACUUGAUCAUACCUGGAGACAGAGAGCACUGCAUCACCAGUGAUAACUUAUUCUCUCUGGCCCACACUCCUGGAUGGACCCUGGUUGUGCGGGGAUCCAGUGAGGGACUGGAGUGUGCUGGCUUCCUGUCUGAUCUGGGGUUAGAGGUCACCGUCCUGGUGCGGUCACACCUGGUACCUGGGUUCGACCACAAAAGGGCGCAGAAGAUUGAGAACCACAUGCUCAAGUUCCUCCAUCACUACACACGUACUGGAGUUGAAGUGUUAUGGUGUCAAAUAUUGAGGAAUUGCAAAUAAUGUAGCGUUUGUAUAUAUAUAUAUAUAUAUAUAUCUGUUAGGUUGAGCAGAUUGAAGCAGGCAGUCUUCAAUCUGUCUCCACAGAUGGGAGGGAGACCUUUCAGGAAGAGUUUAAUAUGCUGGGGUUUUACAUCUACAUUUUAAACAUUUGAGUCAUUUAGCAGACACUCUCAUCCAGAGCGACUUACAGUAGUGAGUGCAUAUAGUUUUCGCACUGAGCACCCGUGGGAAUCGAACCCACAACCCUGGCGUUGCAAGCGCCAUGCUCUAAUAACUGAGCCACACCGUCUCUAACUUAACACACUAUUAGUUGUUCCCUCCCAUGGAGUAUUCUACCUGUGGGCUGUCAGAGGAGAACGCCAUUCUCAAGUUUGGAGAGGACAAUGUGGAGGUGUACCAUAGCUACUACUGGCCAUUGGAGUGGACGGUACAUAGAAGGGACAAGAUGCUAUGCUAAAGUCAUCUGCCACAUACCUGACCAGGUCAGCACUCACUUCAUGAC